This is a long non-coding RNA of Clupea harengus (Atlantic herring), 655 nucleotides long. The record is from Ensembl. Lineage: Eukaryota; Metazoa; Chordata; Actinopteri; Clupeiformes; Clupeidae.
GUAUCCCAAAGAGAUAAUGUGUAGCAUACUGUAUCCCAAAGAGGUCAUACUGUAUCCCAAAGAGAUCAUAGCAUACUGUAUCCCAAAGAGAUCAUAGCAUACUGUAUCCCAAAGAGGUCAUACUGUAUCCCAAAGAGAUCAUGUUUGGAAAGUGCAAAGAGCAAAGUAAUAGUGCAGAAUAUGUAAGUGGUAAAGUCUGUGCAAAGAGAUCAUUUAUAACAUACUGUAUCCCAAAGAGAUCACAUAUAGCAUAUUGUAUCCCAAAGAGAUCUUGUAUAGCAUACUGUAUCCCAGAGGUCAUAGCAUACUGUAUCCCAAAGAGAUCAUAGCAUACUGUAUCCCAAAGAGGUCAUAGCAUACUGUAUCCCAAAGAGGUCAUAGCAUACUGUAUCCCAAAGAGGUCAUAGCAUACUGUAUCCCAAGCUUAAUGCUGCUGAUGCAGGCUCAGUUUUUUUAUCAACCCUCUUUUUUCCCCUCUACCAAAGUAUACACACAAGCUUUCAUCACACCCAGGCUAAAUGACUCAAAGUAGCAGUUACACAUUAAAGGGCCUUUUCUAUUGUACGGCAAGAAAUGGCUUCAUUAAUGCUUAAUCAGGCCCUGUCUCUGGGCGUGGAUGAAGCUGUCUUUAAGUUGACCUCCGACAGCUGUGCAG